This 488-nucleotide ribosomal RNA is filed under the name uncultured bacterium. RNAcentral describes it as "bacterial SSU rRNA". It matches the Rfam family "Bacterial small subunit ribosomal RNA", at positions 28 to 507 of the family's 1533-position model. The record is from RNAcentral.
GAUGAACGCUAGCGACAGGCUUAACACAUGCAAGUCGAGGGGCAGCGAGGGCGUAGCAAUACGCCUGUCGGCGACCGGCGCACUGGUGAGUAACACGUAUGCGACCUGCCCCCUACAGGGGUAUAACCCGUAGAAAUGCGGACUAAUCCCCCAUAGUCCUGGGUGCUGCAUGGCAUUCAGGGGAAAGGCCAGCCGGUAGGGGAUGGGCAUGCGGCGCAUUAGCUAGUUGGCGGGGCAACGGGCCCACCAAGGCGACGAUCAGUAGGGGUUCUGAGAGGAAGGUCCCCCCACAUUGGAACUGAGACACGGUCCAAACUCCUACGGGAGGCAGCAGUGAGGAAUAUUGGUCAAUGGGCGAGAGCCUGAACCAGCCAAGUAGCGUGCAGGAUGACGGCCCUAUGGGUUGUAAACUGCUUUUAUAAGGGAUAAAGUGAGAGUCGUGACUCUUUUUGCAUGUACCUUAUGAAUAAGGACCGGCUAAUUCCGUG